This 103-nucleotide small nuclear RNA is filed under the name Castor canadensis (American beaver). The record is from RNAcentral. Lineage: Eukaryota; Metazoa; Chordata; Mammalia; Rodentia; Castoridae.
GUGCUUAUUUUGGCAGCAUAUGUACUAAAAUUGGAACAAUACAGAGAAGAUUAUCAUGGCCACUGUGGAUGACAUGCAAAUCUGUGAAGCGGUCUGUUUUUUA